Molecule: long non-coding RNA, 1805 nt
Organism: Equus caballus (horse)
Lineage: Eukaryota; Metazoa; Chordata; Mammalia; Perissodactyla; Equidae
Source: Ensembl
GCGGGCGCCGGGAGCUCAGAGGUUCUGGCGCGCGCACGGAGCAGCGUCUUUAGCUUCGCUCUGCCCGCCGCCCAGCGCGCAGCUCGCCGCCUGCACACCCGAGGUUGUACCCCCUCUUUGGGGCACUGAGUUGCCAGGGACUCUGAGAAGAGCUCCUGCCGCUGUUUGCCAGGAUGCCUACAAGGAAGGCGCGUAAGUCUGGGCAGCCGAGCCCCACGCGAGCCCCGGCAGGAACCUGACUGCUCCAGGAGCCUCUGGAUGAGGAGACCCCCUUAAAAUGGAAGGUGUUGAUCCCCAUCAAUUAGAGGAGAGACUGUCUUGACGUGGAGAGCAAUGUGAAGGCACUCUUGUUCGCUUUUGGAUGCCCUUGGAAACGAAGAUAGAAUACGUCAAAAAUGAAUUUCUGUUGGAGGUUUCCCAGAAGUCAUUCUUUGGGAUAUGAGAACAUUGUAAAACCACUUUGUUUAUUUUAAAACAAGAAUGGAGGAACUUUGAAAAUAGGGAAUUAAGUAUGUAUACAUUUUGUUUUGCUUAGGGAAUCGUUGUAGUAUUUUUGCUGAAAGUUGCUGCUCAGCCUAGCAUAAAGAGGAGUUGACAAAUGGUUAGACUUGGUGGGGUCAGCAAACGGAGGAUGUUCAGUGUUUGCUUCUACUUUUGGAUGACGACUCCAGAACAGUGUAUAUUUGGUUUAUAUAUAUAAUUUUUUUAAAAGUAAAAGUUUCCUUCUGAGAACACUGAAUGUCAUAGUGAAUGUCGAUUUUAUAGGUCACUACAAAUUAUAAAAUAACCUGGUAGUUUGUUUCUUUUGACUCAAAAUGUAUUGCUUCUGUUCAGAGGACCUUUCAUUAAAUGUGUUCCUGUGGGCCACAACUGGAAAGUGUCUACUUUGAAAAAACUCGAUAGACGUAUAGGAAUGUUACUUGGUGCCAGUAAAAUUCUUGCAGGUUGAAUAUUGAAGGAUAAAGAGUAUGGGGAUUUUUGCACAACCAGGAAUAAUGAAAAAAAAAUGAAUUCGAUUUUUUACUGUUGUAAUUAAAACUUUGCAAAACAAAUGUUCUAUAGUAACUGUUGGUAAGGAGAUGAACGUGUUUCCUACAGAAGUUUUUAAAAUCUAUAAAAUGCCCUUUCUCAUGCUAGUCAACUAGUAAGCAGCCUAUAUAAAGUGAUCUUUUAGGAGAAAUUAAGCAUGUUUCAUAAUUGGGAUUUACUUUUUUUUUUUUUAAAAAAGGAACAGAUUGCUCAUCCAGAAUGAAAAUCCAUUUACAUACAUGAAUAUAUAUACACAUAUAUAAUUUGCAUUAGAGUAAUAUUAAUAUGUAGAGUCUGAGAAGAGUUUCACGUAUUUCAUUUUUUAAAAAUUAUUAAGAGGCCAGGCUAUCAAAAAAGUCCCCAAAUAUAUGAAAAAGAAGUAAUAAUGUCAUGAUUAAAUUUCAGCAGGAAUAAUUUUAUUUAUUUUACCUAUUUAUAAUUAAAAUAUUUUUUGUUUAGUUUAAAAUGUCUGUUAGUGAAAAGUUCAGUUUUGGGUUAUGAGACUAGGGUUUCAUAACUACUUGAACUCUUACAGUAAGAAUGUUUUAAUAUAGGCUGUAGUCACUUUAGACGAAAAAUUACCUCAGCAUCUGUUUUCCUUCAGUAUUACUUAAAGCUGUUAGUUUAUUUAGUUGCAAAGUUUUUGUUUUUUUUGCUCUCUCUGCCUAGAGGCAGAUACUUUGCUAUAUGGAUAUUUAUGGCCUGUAACUCUAUUUAUACAUAUAUAUUCAUUAAACCUGAUACUGUAGCUGUAAACUAUUAAAAAUUAUUACCAC